RNAcentral lists this long non-coding RNA (214 nucleotides) under Lathyrus oleraceus (garden pea). RNAcentral's name for it is "Pisum sativum (pea) long non-coding RNA (PSAT_LNC038597)". The record is from RNAcentral. Lineage: Eukaryota; Viridiplantae; Streptophyta; Magnoliopsida; Fabales; Fabaceae.
UUUUUCAAGCAUUUUUGCAUCCGACUCUUAUUCGUUUUAAAUCAUUUUAUUUUUAUUUUUAUUUUUUAAUCAAAAUAUUCAUGAAAAGUAAAUAUAUUUAAUUGUAGUACUGUUUCAUUUUUUACUAUGAUUAUUUUUAAAGUGUUCAUUUUAUUUAAUUUAUUUUAUUUUAUUUUAUUUUAUCUCUAAAUAACAUUCCAAGGGCAUUAUUGUC